RNAcentral lists this ribosomal RNA (325 nucleotides) under uncultured bacterium. Its description in RNAcentral is "bacterial SSU rRNA". It matches the Rfam family "Bacterial small subunit ribosomal RNA", at positions 28 to 334 of the family's 1533-position model. The record is from RNAcentral.
GAUGAACGCUGGCGGCGUGCCUAACACAUGCAAGUCGAACGAAGCAAUAAAGACGGAGAUUCGUCAAAGCCUUUAUUGACUUAGUGGCGGACGGGUGAGUAACGCGUGAGCAACCUGCCUUUCAGAGGGGGACAACAGUUGGAAACGGCUGCUAAUACCGCAUACUAUACAGAGGGGGCAUCCCUUUUGUAUCAAAGGAGAAAUCCGCUGAAAGAUGGGCUCACGUCUGAUUAGCUAGUUGGUGAGGUAACGGCUCACCAAGUCAACGAUCAGUAGCCGGACUGAGAGGUUGAACGGCCACAUUGGGGACUGAGAUACGGCCCAG